RNAcentral lists this ribosomal RNA (253 nucleotides) under uncultured bacterium. Its description in RNAcentral is "partial 16S ribosomal RNA". It matches the Rfam family "Bacterial small subunit ribosomal RNA", at positions 524 to 776 of the family's 1533-position model. The record is from RNAcentral.
UACGUAGGGGGCAAGCGUUGUCCGGAAUCAUUGGGCGUAAAGAGCGUGUAGGCGGCCAGAUAAGUCCGCUGUGAAAUCUCGAGGCUCAACUUCGAGCUGUCGGUGGAAACUGUCUGGCUAGAGUCCGGAAGAGGAGAAUGGAAUUCCUGGUGUAGCGGUGAAAUGCGCAGAUAUCAGGAGGAACACCGAUGGCGAAGGCAGGUCACUGGGCCGCAACUGACGCUGAGGAGCGAAAGCAUGGGGAGCGAACAGG